AUGACCUCGACCGCCGCCGCCGCCGCCGCCGCCGCCAUUAACUCCGUCUCGUCAUAUGCUCUCUCCCCGCACGCCGCUCCCUUCAACCCCCCCUCCCGACCGGCUUGCGCCCCUUUCCAGUACCGCCCGAAUGGUGAUGUUUCUAGGUCGGCGGGUGCUAGCUCUGUGGGUUAUGCUGAAGAGAAGACAUCAAGAGAUACUCACUCAGCGUCACCAAUUGCAUGUGCCUUGAUGAAAUCAAGUGGUGCCGUUUAUCCACCCUCUACACAUGCCAUGCACACUGGGCAGCCAAGUUCAUGGUCAGCAGUUUGCCUGGAUGCGUAUCCCUCCUCACCAUAUGUCGGCAUAACAUCCAAUUACAAGCUGCAAAAUUCCUUGACCUCAGGAAAUGGGAGCAAAUGUUCAACAGUGAGGAUAGAAAGGCCACCAAAUAAAACAUCAGAAUCUAACAAAAACAGUUGUGGUUCUGGAAGCAAGUUGGUUAUAGCAGAAAAUCCUAAGUCUAAUAAAGACAGUGAAAAAGAAACAUCAUCCCGCAAUUUACAAUUCAGUGGUCCUGUCGAUGGCAAGGACAAUUCACAAGGUACCAUGUUCUCCUCCAAAGAGGCAAAUCCUGUCUUCAGUGCAAGCCCUCUUCAUAUUCCAACUACUUCUGCUGAUCCAUGUGGUGUUUUGGCCGAGGAUGUGAUGCCAGAUCCAUCAGAAUGCUCUGUUGAUUCACCGUGCUAUAGAGGUGCUUCAGCUUCUCGUCUGUCUCCAUUUGAUGUUUUCCAGACACCUGCUACCCAGUCAACUAAUCAAGAUUUGGAAGCUUUUGCUGUACGACAGAAACAAAGCUCUAGCACUGUUCAACAUCAUGAAACUCCGUCCGAGCUCCAGAGUUCGGUCACCAAGACUAACCACGACCACUGCAAAUCCCAGGCUGAAGCCGGUGUGUCAAAGAAAUCUGGGGUCACAAGUAUAAAGGAGACAAAAAAUUCAUGUGGGAAGGAGCUUGAAUGUGCAAACCAGUAUGCAGCAAAAUGUGAACUGGAGCAGAAACACCUUUCGAAACUGAGAGACAAUUAUGUGAAGCGAUCUGGUCUGAAUUAUGCUGCUCCGGAUUUUGUACCUUCAUCGAUUGGGAAAUCAAAAAUUGGGAAAGGACCCUGUUCUUCAACAGGAAAGAAUAUAUCGGGAGUUCUCAAGGCGAUCGAGAACCUAACUGUGGUAUUCCAGAGUAGUUAUUCUGGUGAUGAAAUUGAGCUAGAUGAAGAUGACUGCAUCCUCCUUGAAUCAGUGAUUGAUAGACUUCAGACUUGCCUUCAUAAAAUAAGAAAGGAUCCUAUUAAGGGUGCUUCUGACAAGGCAGGGCCAAAGGCUCCACAUUCGCAGACUGCAGUUUUAAAAUAUGACCCAGGAAAAUAUAAUCGUAGUUACAUUGCAGAUGGUGAAAAGGACAUAAUUAUUAAUCAUUUUGCUGGUUCUAGUCAUAUGCACAAUGAGUUUGGAAGAAACAGUUUGACACGGGGCCAGCCUGCACUCAACAAUGUCCAAAAGAAGAUGUCCUGUGAGGAAGAGCAUCCACAGGUUCUUGUGUAUAAGAAUCUGUGGAUUGAAGCGGAGCGUGCAAAUUGUGAAUUGAAGUACCAGCUGAAACACACUUGUAUAAAAAUAGACCUAGAGUCCAGCAUGGCUCCUAUUGGUGGGCCUGGGCCAAGAAAGAAUUAUUCCCAAGUCUCUGAUUUGAGUACCGAUCCAAGUAAUCUAUAUGGAGUUGCCUUAGCUCACCCUACUGGAGAGACAUCAGGAGCAAGAAACGGUCAAUAUCCUCCUUAUGCUGGUGACUGCACCCGGUCAGGAGGCGACGCCGCACUUAGCUGUUCUUCAAGCACCAAAGGGUACGCUGCUCUGCCGAAGAAUUUGCAGCAUGGCCAUGUCCUCACAGGCUUGGAAGAAACUGCCACGCAUCUCCAUGCGCCUCUGCCAUAUGGAGCUUGUCAAGGGUUGAAUGGAGACACUUUGGAUGGAGUGGCUGCCCGCUCAUACAUCACCGGACAAGAUGGCAUUUUGCGUAGCAAUUCAAAGUAUGGAUCGUCAGACUGGGAGCAUGUGCUAACUGAAGAAAUCGGCUGGAGUUGA
RNAcentral lists this ribosomal RNA (2121 nucleotides) under Triticum aestivum (bread wheat). RNAcentral's name for it is "partial small subunit ribosomal RNA". The record is from RNAcentral. Lineage: Eukaryota; Viridiplantae; Streptophyta; Magnoliopsida; Poales; Poaceae.